This is a long non-coding RNA of Hypanus sabinus (Atlantic stingray), 376 nucleotides long. RefSeq lists it as uncharacterized. The transcript is spliced from 3 exons. NCBI's taxonomy places the organism in Eukaryota, Metazoa, Chordata, Chondrichthyes, Myliobatiformes, Dasyatidae. The record is from RefSeq and is a predicted model, not a curated record.
CAGAAUCGUCGGGAAGAUGCUGAAUGGCCCGCUGAGCUUUUCCAGCAUUUGCGUCUGCGAUACCAUAAGACUCUAAGACACAGGAGCAGAAUCGGACCAUUCAGCCCAUCGAGUCGGCUCUGCCAUUCUACCAUGCCCCACCUAGAGCUUGGGCCUCCCCCUUUAUUGGUGUUCCGAAGUGGUUCUGUGUAAAGCACCCGGUGACAUUCAGUUCCUCGGCGAAACGUGAAAUCGGCCAAAGGGAGUGGUGUCUCAGAAAGGCAGCAUCCAUUAUUAAGGACCUCCAGCACCCAGGACAUGCCCUCUUCUCAUUGCUACCAUCAGGAAGAAGGUACAGAAGCCUAAAGGCACACACUCAGCGAUUCAGGAACAGCUU